Molecule: long non-coding RNA, 297 nt
Filed under: Ananas comosus (pineapple)
Lineage: Eukaryota; Viridiplantae; Streptophyta; Magnoliopsida; Poales; Bromeliaceae
Description: long non-coding RNA (ACOM_LNC032173)
Source: RNAcentral
UCAAACUUGUGUUUUUAUCAGAGAUACUGCUCUCUAGAGUCCGGCUACUAUACUCUUAUAAGUAUAAAUUCUUUUAUACUUAUAAAUUUUCGGCCAUUAAAUCUACCUCUUUGACCAUUUCAUCCAUUAAAUCAUAUAUUAUUCAACCAGUUACCUACUCAAUCCUAGAGGACCACUAUCAUUCUAACUGGAACCGCACAUUUUUUCAUCCAACGACCGAAAAUUUAUAAGUACAAAAGCUCCUGUACUCAUAAGAGUAUAAUAGCCUAGCCGCGUUCCCUAUUAUCUAACUAUAAA